GAAGCCCUCCCCCCCCCCACUAGUUUAAUGUUUAUGAAUGGAUUUAACAUGAAAGAAGAUCAUUAAUCUUGGCAAACUAUAUAUAAUUUUAAAGGUCUAAGCCUCGGGCAUCGAUGUCAGUGCACUGUUUUUCGAUGGAAAGCUUAUAACAAAUGUAUUUCUUGCAUUUAGGUAAGCAGUACACAUAAGAACGCACGUAAACAAAAACGGAGUACUCACCAUUAUUUUGUAAUAACGAGCCAGACACGCAUCCACUGUUAAAAAUUCCAGAUUGAAUGGAAAGCUGAGGGUCCACUGAAUAACAUCCCAUAGAGCAUUUUUUGUCCAAAGAAAAAAUAAUGUUGUAAUAUCCAUGGUAAUUCCUUUGUUUACAUCGCGUUUCUUCAGGGUGAAUAUCAUGCGGUUUUGUUAUGCAAUAAAAUAGUCCAUAGAAAACAGACUCCCGGUAGCAGACCCUUAUAUGGGUGUGUUGCUUAGAGUGUAAUGAACAAAUUACGACCGCGCACACACACACAAAUACAAAGAUAAGCGAUAUCUAGUUCAAAAUAUGCAAACACUGCAGUCCGUUUUUUUGACGUCAUGAUAUGCACAUCAUAUCAUUCUGUCUUUAUAACGAAAGCCAAUAAAAGAAACGACAUGAUAUGACUGGUAAAACAUGUAGCCAACCAGUGCACGAUUCCAACGUUGCCCGGGAAGUUUGAAUUUCUCACACGAACAUAUGUUUUUAUUUGCUCUCCGUCCGGUAGAGGAGCUAAACUUCAGGCUCUGCAGAGCCACACCCACCGCGGUCAUGUUUUGACAGGCCUGCUAUAGCUAAGAGCUAAGAUAACAAGCUAAGAGGUAGCUAGUCAACAAACAUCUGUUCGUGCAGACAUGCAGACUGUCAUAAAAUAAUUUGUCAAAAGAAGUAUUUUUCUGCUGAAGUAGUUAUUCGAGAUCACUCGAAGAUGGAUUAUGUCGACAUUGAUGAGAAGAUGAGUGAUGAGAAGAUCGUGACGACGGUGAUAAUUAUGCUUGAGGGCGGAAAAGAUUAUCCAAUUUUCGCCAUCAAGUUGAAUCUUCAGAUGAAGAAUGGCAUCCAAGCACCAGCCAGAGAUGCAAGCUCUCAGUUUCUUCACUAUUCUUCACUUUUUCCAUACUUUUCAGAACAUUGCAAUUCACAAGAGGAUGGUGGCAUAAAAAGCUAGGAAUGGACUAAAGCAAUAUAUGAAGGCCAAGCCAACAAAGUACAGUAUUUAUAUCACUUGUAUUUUCUAUUGCAAAGAACCUCAGUUAUUUAUUUUUUAUAUUUCAUAAUAUUUUACUUAUGUAUUUUACAUAUAUAUUUUUUUUGUUCUGUUGUGCAAAUAAAUCACUUGCAUAAAGUCUAAUGGUUGUGUGUAUUAUUUUAUAAUUGCAUUAUUUUAUGAAUUGACUGAAAUAGCUUGCAGUGCCCUGCAUAACAUUUGGUCAUUAGGUUGCUUUUUGAUGUAUCCAAGGAGGUUUCUUGGUACCUGGACAUAGUCUUGGAAAAAAUACUGUAGGAAUCUCAUUUUUCAUAAUAUCUUCCUCAAAUUUGAAAUAUAAACUGAUGAGACUUAUGUCUUUCAAUCAAUUACCUAACUGGAUUCCUACAGGUUUGUUUUCAUUUAUUUUUACAUGAAAUUGUAAAAUAUUACAUGCAGUAUAAAUUAUCUUCAAGACACUUUAAAUUCUAUAACUUUUUGUCUGUGUAAGUUUUUUCAACUUUAACAGUUGGGUAAUACACUCUAAAGUGUCUUCUUUUUAAACAUGUCUAAAUUGUGCAUGUAGUGCAAAUAGUUGAGCAACUGCAAAUAUUUUAGUUUGGGCAUGUUAUUUCUGGGGAUGUGCCUCAGGCAGGGGGAGGGAGAAAGGGAACUGA
Molecule: non-coding RNA, 1882 nt
Organism: Pimephales promelas (fathead minnow)
Lineage: Eukaryota; Metazoa; Chordata; Actinopteri; Cypriniformes; Leuciscidae
Source: RefSeq, a predicted model, not a curated record